UUGCUUCUUAAUUAGGAGCUGGAAUGAAAGAGGCGACGAAAUCUAGACUAUUUAGAUUUUAAAAGAAAUUGACAUGCACGUUAAAAGGCUUGUGUAAACCAGAGGGACGAUAAGACCCUAUAAAACUUUACUUUUUGUGUGACAUCUGACAGGACACUUUUACACUAAAGAGUUUAACUGGGGCGGUAGUUAUAAAAACAAUUAUAUAUUUAAUAUAUUAAAUAGCGGAGUAGAACUCUUAGAGAAAUAGAACAAGUUACUUUAGGGAUAACAGCGUAAUUCUCCCAGAGAGUCCUAAUUGGCGGGAGAGCUUACGACCUCGAUGUUGAAUUGGGGUUUCUUGUGUAAGCAAAAAUACACCUAGACAGUCUGUUCG
RNAcentral lists this ribosomal RNA (376 nucleotides) under Proasellus sp. Maglia. RNAcentral's name for it is "partial 16S ribosomal RNA". It matches the Rfam family "Bacterial large subunit ribosomal RNA", at positions 1969 to 2583 of the family's 2925-position model. The record is from RNAcentral. Lineage: Eukaryota; Metazoa; Arthropoda; Malacostraca; Isopoda; Asellidae.